GAACUGGAGUCAGUUGGCUGCUGUGAGAACAAGGAAGAGUCAGUGCCUAGAGGAGCUGCCUACUAGAAACAUCAAGGAGCCCCUGGGAUAAUGCACUCAGCUGGAGGAAGGAGGGACCCUGCAUUCACUAAUGCUUGUGUCCAUGUGACCUGUCAUCUACACAAACUCCAUCAGAAGUCCCUGAAGCCGAGGCCAGAGUUCAGAAUCUCUCCUUCCAGGAUACUGACAGAAACAAUAGGCCCUGCAAGUCACCUCAGGUUUGCCAACACAUCAGACUGAACUUCUGAAAAUAUUCAGUGGCUCUUUGUUUCUGUGAUGUGGAAUAAAACCCAAUUCACAGCCUGAGAAGUGCCUGGGAUGGAAAAGAGUAUGGUGUGAUUUUCUGUUUCCAGGAGUGUCGCUGGAGGAUCAGGGAGUGUCAUUAAAGCACAAGACAGAACUUUCCCUGGACAUAUGCUGUAUAAUGUAAAACACUCAAAGGAUUAACAGCAAUCAGGGAUCUAUCUCUGGCUGUGUGCACAUACCAAAUCUACAAACAAGGGAUUACAGAUACAGCAUAUGAACCUGCAAGGAAAAAAUGCAGUGGGGCCAGAAAUGGGAUCAUAAGAGAAAGGUUAUUCCUGCAUUUGUAAAAUUUUAUACAGAUCCUUGUAUUCCAUGAGGGCUUAUUUGUAUUGCAGGAAUAGGUAGAAAAAGAGAUCAGUCACAGGCUGCUGGGGUUUGCAUACACUGCUCCCAAAGGAGAGUCUGCCCUGGAGCUUGCAGGCCAGGAGCUCUUCCUUGCAAGUGCAUCCACAUGGUUGGACUCUCAGCAUGUGGAAAGCCAGUCCCAGGCAUUAGCCCAAAAGAGUUAUUUAAACAAGAAACAUCUUUAUUCUUUCAGUGCUCAUUAUUAAAAUAAAACACCCUUCUGAAUUUUAACAAGACCCAUGCACUCCCUGCUUGAUUUUACAGCAUCACCCUCUUAUCUAGAUAGUUUUUCCUCAUGUCAAACCUAAAUUUUAUUAUCUGCAAAUAAAGCUGGUUCCUUCUUUCCCUAUCCCCCAGCAAGCAUGGGGAAAGAUUUAUCACCAUUCUCCUUACAAUAAACUUUAAAAUAUUGCAAGA
This is a long non-coding RNA of Zonotrichia leucophrys gambelii, 1107 nucleotides long. RefSeq lists it as uncharacterized. Lineage: Eukaryota; Metazoa; Chordata; Aves; Passeriformes; Passerellidae. The transcript is spliced from 3 exons. The record is from RefSeq and is a predicted model, not a curated record.